CAUUUUGAGAUACUAAGUCAUUAUUUUGAGAUACUACGUCAUUAUUUUGAGGAGGUUUAUCAUUUCUUUGAGAUACUGUCAGAAAUGGGCUUCCAUACGUUCUUCCACUUCAGGAAUGCAAAAAGGUUUUUGUCAGACAAUUCAAGUUCAUAAUUUACAGUUUUAUGGUGACCAGGGACCAUUGCAUGGUAGGGUCACAUACAGUCACAGCCAAACACUUACCUGAAUAAGAGUUCACAUUCCCCAUAAACAUUUUUAAAAGUUUCAACAAUGUAUUUUCUUUCUGGAUAUUUAAGCAUUUUCAACUUAUGAAGCAGAUGCGAAAGAAAUCAAUAAAAUACAAAACAUAGGCUUGAAAAAAAAAAAAACAGCUGUAACAGUGACUUCGAAGGAAACAAGGCCACACAAGGUAUGGUCUAUGGUGUGACACAAGUGACCUACCUGUCAAGUAAAGCAUCCCCAUGUGUCAUUAUAAGGAACACAGCAAAGAACUUAAAAGCCACCUGCCACACUAACCGUGUAUCUUGGUGGUCUGGUAUUGUGCAGGUGUUUCAUUUUCUUCCUGUAUGUUGCCCUACCAACAAAGAAAGGAGAUACUGCAAGUUAACAUCUUGAGAAGCAAAUAAGGUGUCUGCAGUAAGAUGUGUCUGUAUUAUAGGAGUAUGUUUAUCUUAAUGCUCUGCGCUGAAACCUUGGAGGGGGUGUUAGAAGAUCAAGCACGUCAGUCUCGGUGGCAGUCUUUAAAAGUGGAUGACGAACAAACCAUCUUUCACAAUCUGAAGAGACACUCAGAUGGGACUUUCACCAACGACCUUACAUACCAAUUGGAUCGGCAAAAGGCUAAAGACUUCGUUGCUUGGCUGGCUAGCACCAAACGUGAGAGUCAACAGAAGCGAGGUCUCCAGGAAGGCAGGAUGAAGACUGGGGAGCUGAUCACUGGUCUUAAUCAGUUACGGGAAUGCAGCUAAAUGUAAAAAAAAAAAAAACUCUAUUAAAAAAUAUUUUUCCACGUAAAAAUUACGUUUUUAAUGUCAUUGUACUGUAGCUUUUUGUGAUAUGUUUCUUUUAUUCUUUGUGAAAAUGCAUUUGAUAAACUUUAAAAAACCUAAGGCUUUGAAUUGUUCUUCUCAUUCACAUAUGUGUUUCUGUUAGAAUGUAAAGUACACUGGGUGGUUGUGCGGUUAGAAAACGUCCCUUUGGAAAUUGGACACUUUGGUACUCCAGAAGAGUUAUGGUGCGAGUAUGUGUCAUCUCUGAAUGUCAUCAACAAACUAAAAACAAUUGUUUGGAUUGAGGGCUGCCAUCUGCUUUUCAUGACUUUCUUACUUGCCUUUGCCACUGUUAGAGAAUACACCUUUCGUAUUUCUAAGUUAACAUGGAUAGCCACAUAGUCAA
This is a long non-coding RNA of Clupea harengus (Atlantic herring), 1395 nucleotides long. RefSeq lists it as uncharacterized. The record is from RefSeq and is a predicted model, not a curated record. Lineage: Eukaryota; Metazoa; Chordata; Actinopteri; Clupeiformes; Clupeidae.